This 113-nucleotide ribosomal RNA is filed under the name Diaphorina citri (Asian citrus psyllid). The record is from RNAcentral. Lineage: Eukaryota; Metazoa; Arthropoda; Insecta; Hemiptera; Psyllidae.
GCCAGCGGCGAUAGCAGGUUGAAUGCAACAGUUCCCAAUGGAUCACUGAAGCAACGUUGCACGUGGUUGGUAUCCGGAUGGGUGACCAUGUGGACAAUCGCGUGCUGCUAGCU